RNAcentral lists this ribosomal RNA (442 nucleotides) under uncultured bacterium. Its description in RNAcentral is "partial 16S ribosomal RNA". It matches the Rfam family "Bacterial small subunit ribosomal RNA", at positions 338 to 795 of the family's 1533-position model. The record is from RNAcentral.
CCUACGGGAGGCAGCAGUGGGGAAUAUUGGGCAAUGGGCGCAAGCCUGACCCAGCAACGCCGCGUGAAGGUAGAAGGCUUUCGGGUUGUAACCUUCUUUUCUCAGGGACGAAGCAAGUGACGGUACCUGAGGAAUAAGCCACGGCUACUUACGUGCCAGCAGCCGCGGUAAUACGUAGGUGCAAGUGUUAUCCGGAUUUACUGGGUGUAAAGGGCGUGUAGGCGGGACUGCAAGUCAGAUGUGAAAACCACGGGCUCAACCUGUGGCCUGCAUUUGAAACUGUAGUUCUUGAGUACUGGAGAGGCAGACGGAAUUCCUAGUGUAGCGGUGAAAUGCGUAGAUAUUAGGAGGAACACCAGUGGCGAAGGCGGUCUGCUGGACAGCAACUGACGCUGAGGCGCGAAAGCGUGGGGAGCAAACAGGAUUAGAUACCCUGGUAGUC